UUAACGUGUAGCAGAUCAAAAGUUAGAGCUUUGUAUUGGAAACAUGCUACUCUUUCUCAUUCCUUUACAGCCUAAUCAAUUAUUUAUUAAAGGCAAGGCAAUUCAAUUCAUGUUCUUCUUAUUCCAUCGUAGAGAAGCUUUUCUUUUCAGCUUCCACUCCGCCUCAACUACACCAUAUUCCGUCCAUCGGUCUUCUACUGUCAUCUCUAAACACUCUUCAUCCACCAGUGACCCUCCUUGAUUCUCCCAUAAUAACCAAUUUUCGUCCACUGGUGACUGCAUUGGUGUGGUAGAGUUUCAAAUUGAAAAGAAGAAAAGACUAGUGCGAAUAUUCUUCUCCAACACAACAACAAGUCUAAAUCGGUCCGUUUCAAAGGUUUCUGUGCAAGGCUGCAAUAAUAUAAGAAGACAGACAAGUUGAUCAAAAAAGGAUCCAAGAAGAUUAGCAACAGUUACAAUAGUUGAAGAAACAAAGUUUAUUUUGAUACAUUGUUUAUGAUUAUACGUGUAUUAAUCAUUAUACGUGUAUUAAUUUUUAUAUAACUGAAAAUAAACAUUGUUUUUAUAAUUAUUAUGAAUUAUUAAAAUA
This is a long non-coding RNA of Vicia villosa (hairy vetch), 589 nucleotides long. RefSeq lists it as uncharacterized. NCBI's taxonomy places the organism in Eukaryota, Viridiplantae, Streptophyta, Magnoliopsida, Fabales, Fabaceae. The record is from RefSeq and is a predicted model, not a curated record. The transcript has 3 exons.